RNAcentral lists this ribosomal RNA (471 nucleotides) under uncultured bacterium. Its description in RNAcentral is "bacterial SSU rRNA". It matches the Rfam family "Bacterial small subunit ribosomal RNA", at positions 335 to 796 of the family's 1533-position model. The record is from RNAcentral.
ACUCCUACGGGAGGCAGCAGUGGGGAAUAUUGCACAAUGGGCGCAAGCCUGAUGCAGCCAUGCCGCGUGUGUGAAGAAGGCCUUCGGGUUGUAAAGCACUUUCAGUCGUGAGGAAGGUGGUAGUGUUAAUAGCACUAUCAUUUGACGUUAGCGACAGAAGAAGCACCGGCUAACUACGUGCCAGCAGCCGCGGUGAUACGUAGGGUGCGAGCGUUGUCCGGAUUUAUUGGGCGUAAAGGGCUCGUAGGUGGUUGAUCGCGUCGGAAGUGUAAAUCUUGGGGGCUUAACCCUGAGCGUGCUUUCGAUACGGGUUGACUUGAGGAAGGUAGGGGAGGAAUGGAAUUCCUGGUGGAGCGGUGGAAUGCGCAGAUAUCAGGAGGAACACCAGUGGCGAAGGCGGUUCUCUGGUCUUUCCUGACGCUGAGGAGCGAAAGCGUGGGGAGCGAACAGGCUUAGAUACCCUGGUAGCUA